UAACAUCUAGCAACCCAGAUCAUUGAUCAACAUCUUAUUACACUACAUUAAAUAACAAACAACAAGAUCUAACAUCGGAUCAUAAAAUUUUUAAAUUCUAGGGUUUAUAUCUUUAUGCUUUGAUUUCUUGAAUCUGAUCCUUAGAUUUGUUAUGGUUGAUGGUGGGGCUUGAAUAUGGGACUGAACUAACACUAGAAUUUCGUGGGUUUUGAGAGAGAAGCUCUUGGAUAUGAGUUUGCAAAAAAUUGAGCAACUAAUGAAUUUCUCUCUCCUUGUGAUUAUAUAUUACAUGUAUAAAAGGUGUUGGCUGAUAGAUCUAGGCUGAUUUGCUGGAAAGUUAAUAACACAAUGUCAACAAUUAGGUCACCAACUCCUUAUUUGGUUAGAUUCACAAGCAAGCCUAAUAAAAAAAUCCAAAGAGGGGUAUUUUAGUCUUUUUGCUUGCACAUUUAAUGGCCAUUUUGUCAUUUGCCCUAACCCUUAGGGUUUAGGGUUU
RNAcentral lists this long non-coding RNA (496 nucleotides) under Panax ginseng (ginseng). RNAcentral's name for it is "long non-coding RNA (PGIN_LNC000688)". The record is from RNAcentral. Lineage: Eukaryota; Viridiplantae; Streptophyta; Magnoliopsida; Apiales; Araliaceae.